UCGAACCAAGUGGGAUGCAGCUGCAGGGCUCCGGCAAAUGGAUCAAGAGAGAAACAAAAAUCCAAAUAUAAACAUGAAAAACAGGGGAAUAAAUGAAAACAAGAAAAUGGGUAUUUAGGGUGUCAAGAUCCAAGAAGUUAUGAUGUCGGAAAUAGUAAUGGUAACAUAAUUACAGCGUUUUAGGAUGGCGGUAGAGUUAUGCUGAAGGAGGGAGAAGAAGAUAGAAGAAGUCAGGAAAGAGAGGGGCAGAGAGAGGAAGAGGAAGAGGAAGAAAAGAGUGGAGGAGAGAGAAAGACAACCAACACCACGAAAACCUCCCAAAUGAAGGGCGAUGGGUAAAAUUGAGGUCAUGGGCACAAGGACAGACAUCCAAGCACAUACUGGCAAUAAUAUAGUAAUAAUUGUCUUAUAAUUGGAGAUGGUCAAAGGUUUCCUCUCUCGUAUCUAUGUAAUGAAUGGAGGAAAUGGGAUUGCAAGAAGGGAAAAAUUCUACCCGG
This 497-nucleotide long non-coding RNA is filed under the name Olea europaea (common olive). RNAcentral describes it as "long non-coding RNA (OEUR_LNC012504)". The record is from RNAcentral. Lineage: Eukaryota; Viridiplantae; Streptophyta; Magnoliopsida; Lamiales; Oleaceae.